This 253-nucleotide ribosomal RNA is filed under the name uncultured bacterium. RNAcentral describes it as "partial 16S ribosomal RNA". It matches the Rfam family "Bacterial small subunit ribosomal RNA", at positions 524 to 776 of the family's 1533-position model. The record is from RNAcentral.
CACGUAGGGCGCAAGCGUUGUCCGGAAUUAUUGGGCGUAAAGAGCUCGUCGGCGGUCUGUUGCGUCUGCUGUGAAAACCCGGGGCUUAACCCCUGGCUUGCAGUGGAUACGGACAGACUAGAGGUAGGUAGGGGAGAAUGGAAUUCCCGGUGUAGCGGUGAAAUGCGCAGAUAUCGGGAGGAACACCGGUGGCGAAGGCGGCAUCCUGGACCAACACUGACACUGAGGAGCGAAAGCCAGGGGAGCAAACGGG